This is a non-coding RNA of Leptonychotes weddellii (Weddell seal), 2291 nucleotides long. Lineage: Eukaryota; Metazoa; Chordata; Mammalia; Carnivora; Phocidae. The record is from RefSeq and is a predicted model, not a curated record.
UCCACCGUGUCACUUAAGCAUUAUUUUCCUUUUUUUUUUUUUUCCCCUCAAUCAAAAACAUCAUUAGAUGGAGUGCACAUCCUGUGGAGCUGAGGACAAACAUCUCCUGUGUCUUGUCCCAUGUAGGAGGGAAAUGGCAAGUGGAUAUCAUUGGUCUUAUUUGAACAACAAAAGGAAUAAGAAAUGAAGACUCUCAGCCAUGCUCUUCUGGGCUGGCUAGCUCAAUUUCCAUGGUCAAUUAAUAAGCAUAAAGACAGUAUUCUUAAUACAGCUCACCAGGGCGACUACUAUGAUUAUUAUAAGAUUAUAAGGAGGAUAAUCCCCACGAUCUAGAGUGUAGUUUGGGACCAUGGUCCCCAAGAUCCAAACCAAUCAGAAUCAAGUGAAAGAGAAACCUUCGUUGAAGGAGAGUCCCUUAAAGACAACUGGCUGGUUCAGUGAUCUUGUAUAGCUGAGCCUUGGCUUUGCUGGAAGAGUCCACCUAAGUGAAUCAAGUGGUGCUGGCCAUAGCACAGACUCCUCCUGGCUCUGCUAAGAGAUAAUCAAAAACUAUCCUAUUACCAAGAACAGCUUUGGGUGGCUCCUGGAAGUGGGGCUGGUGCAGGGCCGUCAUGUUGCAGCAGGAUAGUAAUGACACGGAGGAUGUUUCCCUGUUUGAUGCGGCAGAGGAGACCACUAACAGACCAAAAAAAUCCAAGAUCAGACACCCAGUGGCAUCAUUUUUCCAUUUACUCUUUCGAGUCAGUGCAGUUGUAGUCUAUCUUCUUUGUGAAUUGUUCAGCAGCAGCUUUAUUGCCUGUAUGGUGACAAUUACUUGUUGUGUGACUUUCGGGCUGUCAAGAAUGUCACAGGUAGACUCAUGGUUGAUCUGUGUUGGUGGAAUCACAUAGAUGAAGAUGGAAAAAGCCACUGGGUGUUUGAGUCCAGGAAGGCAUCCGCUCAAGAGAGUAAACCUGUUUCUGAGGCUGAAUCAAGGAUUUUUUGGUUAGGACUUACUGCCUGUCCAGUGCUGUGGGUGAUAUUCGCCUUCAGCGCGCUCUUCUCCUUCAGAGCGAAGUGGUUGUGGUUAUCAUGGGUGUGACGCUACAAGGUGCCAACCUGUAAGGUUACAUCAGGUGCAAAGUGGGCAGCAGGAAGAAUUCAACCAACAUGGCUACGUCUUAUCUCGGAAAGCAGUUUUGAAAACAAAACACCGGAGAUGAGCAGACUUCCUGAAGAGAGUGAGAGCAAGCUCAUGUGUCUGUUGCACUGGGGAACAGCUGAAGAGAUUCUUGACUCUGAGGCUUUUGGAACUCAGUGCGUAUUGCAAAGAGGAGUGUUGGGUUUGUUUUUCCGGUUUAAAAUUUACUUUAAAAAAAAAUGGACAGUUUAGUUUUCAUAUCAAGUUUUUAUUCUCUUUCUGGCAUUUUGGGGCUUGAAAGUAUGGUGUGGCCAGGAACAUUGUCAAAAUUGGUUCCUGGUUUAUACAUGUAUGCACGUAGUCCUGUAAUGUCCGUAUAUCCCAAAUUACUGAAAGUGCGUUCAUGUACAUACGUAAUGGAGACCUUUGCAUUUGGAUCCGUAGAAUAUAGGAGGAUGAUCUCGGUCUGUCUCAGAAAUCUAGGUGUGUACAUAUUAUUUCUGUAGAUUAUUGUCAGAAGAAAGUUUUGCUUCCAUGGGAAGAGUGAGCACUUUGGCUCACGUGUAAGUUAGAGAUAAUUGUUAAUUUUACACCUUAAUGUAUACUUCGCGACGAAACGUCUUAUCUUACUCACUCAAAGGCAGGUAAAAAACAAAUUUGGGCCAGUGGUUAACUAGUUUGUAAAUUUUAUUUUUAUUUGUAAUAACCCAUGUCCUUAAGGCCCAAUUAAUGUAAAUGGAAUUUUCACAGUUUAUGGUUAGGGGAUUCCUUUGAGAUUGCUGCUGUUCUAUUUAUUUUUUGGAAGGGAAAGCCAGAUUUUACUUUAAAACUUCCUGGAAGCUCUUCAGUGGGCCUUGGCCUAAUGAAAUUUAUCUUUUAUCACUAAAAGAGUAUUAUUCUUAUGUCAUAGUGAGAAUAAUCAUUUAAAUACUUGGCAUAAUAAAUGCCUAAAAGACAUUUUAUUGUAUGAAUCUAUUUUUUUCUCGCUAUAAUGGGGAUAUUAUAAAUCAUGCCUUUGUAUUAAUGGUAUUUCUUAAUAUAUGUCACAAUCUACAAGCGGUUGUAGGAGUCUAUAAAUUCUGUUGUAGGUUCUAUAAACUUUGUUGGUGUCUUUUAACCAGCAGAUUAUUUUGUGGAAUGUAUUUAUACAUUAUUAAAAAUUUUAAAAAGA